Myotis daubentonii (Daubenton's bat) is the source of this 805-nucleotide long non-coding RNA. RefSeq lists it as uncharacterized. Lineage: Eukaryota; Metazoa; Chordata; Mammalia; Chiroptera; Vespertilionidae. The record is from RefSeq and is a predicted model, not a curated record.
CGCUGUCCUUCCGCAGCAUAAAGAACCCGGAGUCCUUUUCGUCGGGAGAAGGGGGAGCACUGUGAUCUUCAAAAUUCUCAUCUGGAAUGCUGCAAUAAUCCACACAGCACAAAUCACACUUUCCUUUAUAAGGAUUUGGCUCUUGUUUUGAAAGAGAAGGGGUCCACCUUGAGCUCCGUGUCCGGAGAAACUGAGCCGUACUCACUGCUGCUGCUCGUGUCCUCCACCAGGACGGGGACUGGCAAGGAUAUGCUCCUAAGGUUUAUCCCCCAGACCUCAUCAUUACAUAGCAGUAGCUCAAGUUCAUGUCCACAUACACCUGCACAUGUCUGCUCUCAGCUUAAAUCAGCAAAAUUCCUGGACGGAAGCAUUUCACCUGGCCAAGGAUCAGGCAACCACACUCCUCAAGUCACCUAUGCUUAGGAGAACAGUACUGUGAUUUAUCUUCGUUUAUAGCUUUCCCCAAAGUGGUGGUGUUUUAUGAUGUAAGUUAAAUCAAGUGGUCUUUAAAAAAUAUGUGUUGAAGCCUACUGCUCCUUUCUGUUGUCUCCGGGUCUAAAAUAGAAUUACUGAGAGAAUUUGAGUUGUUUUAAUAUAGUAGUAGGCAUCACAACUGAUCAACAGUAUAUGAAUUGAAAAGAACUGGACAAUUCAAGUAAUAUCUUAAUAAUAAAUUAUGCAAUGUUUUUAUUCAUCAGAUAUUUCAAAGAGCGCUACCUGCCAAUUGUGUUUAAUUAUCCCUCAUUGAGCAAGUGGCAAUAAAAACAGGUUUGGCCAUGUGUUCAUAUCAGUUCCCUUCACUCCA